Potamilus streckersoni is the source of this 72-nucleotide non-coding RNA. The record is from the annotation of a GenBank genome assembly. Lineage: Eukaryota; Metazoa; Mollusca; Bivalvia; Unionida; Unionidae.
ACUCCUGUGGCCUAGUGGUUAGAACGUCAGCCUCAAAUGCGGUAGGCCAUGGGUUCGAUCCCCAGUCGAGUC